Molecule: long non-coding RNA, 402 nt
Organism: Silurus meridionalis
Lineage: Eukaryota; Metazoa; Chordata; Actinopteri; Siluriformes; Siluridae
Exons: 4
Source: RefSeq, a predicted model, not a curated record
AUGGAUUCCCACAGACUUCUGUAGAACUCUGAACCGGAACCUGUGGUGUUGAAAUUUGACGUGUUAGGUAAGCAGACUGCAGCUCGUCGUCUGCUGUGUACGGGUCGGGACUACGAUAAAGUCAAUGCCCGCUGUCUCUAAAGCAGAAAUGCUGGGGGUAUAAUUCAUUCUUCAGUUGCAGUAAGUUACUUCUUCAAUGCAGUGUGGAAAGAAGGUUACAAGCCUAUUUUAUUUAUUGACAAACAAGAUAAAAAAAACUUCAAAUAGCACAGCAGCUGGACAAUGAUAUCCCCAGCAGCACAACAACCCCAGUCAGGUGCAGUGCAACAGUUCUAGACUGCAUUUUCACUCAACCUUGUUUCUCUUUCUUCCCCGUGUUCUCCAACUUCUCUCUCUCUCUCU